CCUUGUUACCAGUUGCUACCAUUUAGUUGAGCACUCUGGUGAGACCGCCUCGGAUAACGGGGAGGAAGGCGGGGAUGACGUCAAGUCCUCAUGGCCUUUAUGUCCAGGGCUACACACGUGCUACAAUGGCCGGUACAAACCGUUGCAACCCUGCGAAGGUGAGCUAAUCGGAGAAAGCCGGCCUCAGUUCGGAUUGGAGUCUGCAACUCGACUCCAUGAAGCUGGAAUCGCUAGUAAUCGCGGAUCAGCAUGCCGCGGUGAAUACGUUCCCGGGCCUUGUACACACCGCCCGU
This 293-nucleotide ribosomal RNA is filed under the name uncultured Acidobacteriota bacterium. Its description in RNAcentral is "uncultured Acidobacteria bacterium partial 16S ribosomal RNA". It matches the Rfam family "Bacterial small subunit ribosomal RNA", at positions 1103 to 1397 of the family's 1533-position model. Lineage: Bacteria; Pseudomonadati; Acidobacteriota. The record is from RNAcentral.